This 119-nucleotide ribosomal RNA is filed under the name Pteropus alecto (black flying fox). Lineage: Eukaryota; Metazoa; Chordata; Mammalia; Chiroptera; Pteropodidae. The record is from RNAcentral.
GUCUAUGGCCAAGCUACCCUGAACAAGCCUGAUCCCGUUUGAUCUCAGAAGCAAAGCAGGGUUGGGCCUGGUUAGUACUUGAAUGGGAGACCGCCUAGGAAGACCAGCUGCUAUAGGCU